RNAcentral lists this ribosomal RNA (808 nucleotides) under Mycena polygramma. Its description in RNAcentral is "eukaryotic LSU rRNA". The stretch from base 298 to 451 matches the Rfam family "5.8S ribosomal RNA". The record is from RNAcentral. Lineage: Eukaryota; Fungi; Basidiomycota; Agaricomycetes; Agaricales; Mycenaceae.
AGUAAAAGUCGUAACAAGGGUUUCCGUAGGUGAACCUGCGGAAGGAUCAUUAUUGAAUACGAUUGGAACUGAUGCUGGCUUCUUACGGAGCAUGUGCUCGUCCAUCUAUUUAACCUUCUCUUGUGCACAUUUUGUAGUCUUGAAUCAAAGUGAACCCUUCGCAGCAAUGCGGUUUGGGGGAAUGGGCGCAAGCCCUUCUCCUGCUUGCUUUCUUUUCAAGGCUAUGUUUUCAUAUACACUAUAAAGUUUCAGAAUGUCUUUUAACGAUUGCGCUUGUCGUAGUCAUUAAACCUAUACAACUUUCAGCAACGGAUCUCUUGGCUCUCCCAUCGAUGAAGAACGCAGCGAAAUGCGAUAAGUAAUGUGAAUUGCAGAAUUCAGUGAAUCAUCGAAUCUUUGAACGCACCUUGCGCCCUUUGGUAUUCCGAAGGGCAUGCCUGUUUGAGUGUCAUUAAAUUCUCAACCUCGUUCGCUUUUACUAGCUUGAGCGAGGCUUGGACGUGAGGGCUUGCUGGCUUCCUUCAGUGGAUGGUCUGCUCCCUUUAAAAGCAUUAGUGGGAUCUCUUGUGGACCGUCACUUGGUGUGAUAAUUAUCUAUGCCAGUUGACUUUGAAGCAAACUUAUGGGAACCUGCUUAUAACCGUCUCGCAAGGGACAACAAUCUUAAUUGACAUUUUGACCUCAAAUCAGGUGGGACUACCCGCUGAACUUAAGCAUAUCAAUAAGCGGAGGAAAAGAAACUAACAAGGAUUCCCCUAGUAACUGCGAGUGAAGCGGGAAAAGCUCAAAUUUAAAAUCUGGCGGUCCU